GAAGUACAGGAACAGCUGUGGCUGCAGCAAAGCAAAAUCCGACAUCUAAGAACUGGUAGCAAUCAGGUGCAGUAGAUACGAAUCUCAGUUCACAAACCAAGACAGUGGGAUAUUUUCUGUGUCUGAAGUARAGGCCAAGGCAUUGUGUAUGACUCUGCCUUCCAUAGUCUUCCUGAUUUGAGAAGCUCAACACCUAUAAUCCCUUGCUCCUAAACAUUUGUCUAUGUCAAAAGUGCUUCCUGCACCUAAAGGGGAUUGCACUGGAACAAGACCCAACAGCCAUAUCUCAUCUUCCCUUUGUAAUUCAGAGACUUUGCUUAUUAUUCUCAUACCCAUUCCUGUUUCUUCCCCUGAAUAUACUGCAGCCCUAUGUUUCCCCUUUUGGCAGAACAACGAUGACCCAGGAAGAAUAGCAUUAUGUUCCAAAAUGUCUUCUUCCCACAUUCAUGUAUUCCCAUUCCAAGUUCUUCCUAAC
This 475-nucleotide long non-coding RNA is filed under the name Urocitellus parryii (Arctic ground squirrel). Its description in RNAcentral is "lncRNA (ENSUPAG00010012666.1)". Lineage: Eukaryota; Metazoa; Chordata; Mammalia; Rodentia; Sciuridae. The record is from RNAcentral.